GGACUACUAGGGUAUCUAAUCCUGUUCGCUACCCACGCCUUCGCGCCUCAGUGUCAGUCUAAACCCAGAUUGUCGCCUUCGCCACUGAUGUUCUUUCCGAUCUCUACGCAUUUCACCGCUACACCGAAAAUUCCACAACCCUCUGUUUGACUCAAGUUAACACGUAUUCGAUAAACUCCCCAGGUUAAGCCCGGGACUUUCUCAUCAAACCUCGCUAACCACCUACACGCCCUUUACGCCCAGUCAUUCCGAUUAACGCUCGCACCCUCUGUAUUACCGCGGCUGCUGGCAC
This 292-nucleotide ribosomal RNA is filed under the name uncultured bacterium. Its description in RNAcentral is "partial 16S ribosomal RNA". The record is from RNAcentral.